AAAGUACUACUACCACUAUAUUCACACAUAUAUCUUGAUUACAUUUAACCAAAUACAACCUUUCCACGAACUUACAUUCUUUUGCAUACACCUUACAUAUCUGUCAUCCAAAAACAUAUGAAUUUACAUUAUUUAUAUAUUUGCAUUCCAUUACACCUUUCAUUAUAACCAAAAGAUGAACAAAGUACCACUAAUACACGGGUGUCUGCUACCUAGGGCACUAUGCCCUUACCGCGAUUCUCAACCGCCUCACUCGGGCCCGGAUCUGAAAAAUGGUGGGGUGAGAAUUAUAAGAAAGUUCCCAGUGGGUUCGGCCGCCGACCCCGCCGACUUUCCCACUAGGUCUAACCAGGCAUAAGUAGAAGAAAGAACAUAUAGAUAGAUAGAUAGCCAUUUCUAAUCAAAUGCAGCUACUAUGCCUGAACAAGAAUGACAACCAAUAUAUAGGAUGCUCAUGAU
Molecule: long non-coding RNA, 459 nt
Filed under: Ananas comosus (pineapple)
Lineage: Eukaryota; Viridiplantae; Streptophyta; Magnoliopsida; Poales; Bromeliaceae
Description: long non-coding RNA (ACOM_LNC010175)
Source: RNAcentral